RNAcentral lists this ribosomal RNA (254 nucleotides) under uncultured bacterium. Its description in RNAcentral is "partial 16S ribosomal RNA". It matches the Rfam family "Bacterial small subunit ribosomal RNA", at positions 524 to 776 of the family's 1533-position model. The record is from RNAcentral.
UACGUAGGGUGCGAGCGUUGUCCGGAAUUAUUGGGCGUAAAGAGCUCGUAGGCGGUGUGUCACGUCGUUCGUGAAAACCUGCAGCUUAACUGUGGGCGUGCGGUCGAUACGGGCAUCACUGGAGUUCGGCAGGGGAGACUGGAAUUCCUGGUGUAGCGGUGAAAUGCGCAGAUAUCAGGAGGAACACCGGUGGCGAAGGCGGGUCUCUGGGCCGAUACUGACGCUGAGGCGCGAAAGCCAGGGGAGCAAACGGG